This 4864-nucleotide long non-coding RNA is filed under the name Homo sapiens (human). Its description in RNAcentral is "HSALNT0320357". The record is from RNAcentral. Lineage: Eukaryota; Metazoa; Chordata; Mammalia; Primates; Hominidae.
CACCGCACAACCACCGCUGCCGGUAUUUGCCCCGGGCGCCUGGCAACUCUGACGCCCCGCUGCGCGGUCCAACCCCUUCUCCGACGCCUGGGGACGUGGACCUGGCCGAGGGAAGGGAGAGGGUACCGGUCCUUGGUGUAAUCACGUUUUACUCUGCUGGGAAGGCGUGUUCAUCUUCCCACCGAAACGCGCCAUAGACUGGAUCAGGCGUUUUUUGCUCAUCAUCGUUUCAAAAAACGUUUACUGAAGGAAAGAAAGGAAGAAGGCAGGAGGAGCGAUAAAGAGAUAGCAAGAGAAAGAGGAUGGAAAGUGGGGAAAAUGAAUAGAUUUCUAAAGGUUGGGAAAGCCUUUUAGCAGGGAGAUGUUUUCCUGGAGGUCUUGGAACUCUCUUGGUCUCACAGCCUCUGUAAACCGAGGGCUGCACACCUGUCUCUAGUCCCCAGCUGAUUUCCAGAGGCCCUUCCAGCUCCUGUGUUGAUUCUUCUGCCUCGACUCACUUCUAGCAGACAAGUACCAUCCAGCUGACCCUGGUAGGCACGUGGCCACAUAAUACGGAUUGCACGAGGUAUAGGAAUCCAGAGGAAUUCUCACACACAAGGCAAGACGUAUGAGGAUGUUGCUGCAGCAUCGUUACUAGUGUUGGAAAUAAGAUGUUCCCCCUUUCUCCUUCUGAUAUGAGAAGAUACUUGUUAGCCCUCAAGCUGCUCAGAUGAGGGACUUUCCUGCCGAGAACCAACGUGAAGAGUGCAGCUUCUAUAAAGGAUUUCACUGGAUUUUUGUACUAAUGAACAAAUUUUAUUUGGAUGAGUAGAUAUUUAAUGUGCUGUUAUUACCACUGGAGUUAAAAGUAUAUUAUAAAUUCUUAUGUCUUUAAAACUAGAGAGAGGAUUCUGGGAAGAUGGCAGAGUAGAAAGCACCAGGAAUCCGACUUCCCACCUAAACAACUGUUCUAGCAGCAUCUGUCUGACACAACUAUUUUAAAACUUUGGGGUCUAUUGAAAGCUAGCAACUUCUAGGGGAAAAGUUGUACAGUAAGCUGCAGUUAAUUUCAGUGAAUUUCAGCACAGUAAUAGCCAAUAGUAGCCAAACCCUACUCCUCAGCCCUGUGUCAGGCAGCUGUGUAUGUGUUCCUGGACCAGUUUGCACACAACUUGCUGGAAUCAAGGUUGAAAAAAAAAAACUGUCCUCCAAAUAUUAGGGCUCUGAUUGCUGAUUGUUGCUUUACAAAGGUGCAGAAGAAGAAAUGACAGCCAUUGUUUUGUUGUUGCACCUUCCCCCCCAUUGUGGCAAACUCCACCUCCUCUGGCUGAAGCACCUUCCAGGGGAUUUAAACGAUGAGCCUUUUUCUGCCCUUCAUUUUUCUCUUUUUCUCCAUUUUUGGAAGCCAGACAUUGAAGGCUAUGACAUUCAAAACAACUGUAUAUACACUUGUUACAGAAGAUAUUAGAAAGUCACUGUGCGUGCCCAGGGACAGGCUUAGAAAAGACCCAAGAAGACUGUAAGCUUAUAUUUCAGGCUAAUCCUCAGCACAGAGACAGCCUAUAACAAUAAAAAACAAAAAGCUAGUAAACCCUGGGGAAGGAAAAUAAUCUGAUUUUCAGAAUUACCAGAUUAUUAGAUUCAAAAGUCUAGUUUUCAACAACAACAACAACAAAAACAAAAACACAAGAGAUACAAAGAAACAAGCAAAUAUGGCCCAUUCAAAGGAAAAAAUAAACCAACAGAAACUGUCCUUGAAAAGGAUCUGAUGGAGGAUCUAUUAGACAAAGACUUUAAAACAACUGUCUUAAAGUUACCCAAAGAACUAAAGGAAGAUGUGGAAAAUGUCAAGAAAAUGAUGUAUGAACAUAAUGGAAAUAUCAAUAAAGAGAGAGAAAACCUAAAAAGAAACCAAAAAGAAAUUGGUUUCCAGAAAUUUUCUGGAACUAAAAAGUACAAUAGCUGAAAGUUAAAAAAACUUGCUAGAGAGAUUCAAUGGCAGAUUUGAGCAAGCACAAGAAUCAACAAACUUGAAGAAAGGACAAGGAAAAUUAUUGAAUCUGAGGAAUAUAAAGAAAAAAAUUGAAGAAAACAGAGCCUAAAGGACCUGUAGGACAUCGUCAAACAGCCCCACACAGGCUUUAUGGGGAGUCCUUGAGGACAAGUAAGAGAAAGGGGCAAAGAGAUUAUUCAAAGAAAUUAUGACCAAAAACUUGCCAAAUUUAAUGAAAGACAUGAAUAUAAAUAUCCAAAAAGCUCAAUGAACUCCAAGUAGGAUAAAUUCAAAGACACACCAAAAGUAUUACCAUCAAACUAUUAAAAGCUGGAGACAGAAAAUUUUGAAAGCCGCAAGAGAGAAGUGAUCAUCACAUAUAAGGAAUCCUCAAUAAGAUUAUCUGCAGAUUUCUCAUCAGAAACUUCAGAGGCCAGAAAGCAGUAGGCUGAUAUAAAGUGCUAAAAGAAAGAAACUAUCAACUAAGAAUCCUAUAUCCAGCAAAUCUUCACUUCAAAAGCUGGAGGAUUCACACUUCUUUGUUUCAAAACUUACCACAAAGUUACAGCGAUCAAAACAGUGUGGUACUGGCACAAAGACAGACAUAUAGACCAAUGGAAUAGAACACAGUCCAGAAAAAAACCCUCUUAGCACAAGGGUGCUAAGAUUAUCCAAUGGGGAAAAGAUGAUCUUUUUGACAAAUGGUGCUGGGAAAAUUGCCACAUACAAAAGAAUACAGUUGGACCCUUACCUGAUACCAUUUACAUUAAAUUAAUGCAGACUAGAUCCAUAACCUAAUGUAAGAACUAAAACUAUAAAACUCAUAGGAGAAAGCAUAGGGCAAAAGUUCACAACAUUAGAAUGGGCAAUAAUUUCUUGGAUAUAACAUCACAAGUACAGGCAACAACAACAACAAAAGAACACAAAUUGGAUUGUAUUACAAUUUUAAAAUUUUGUGCAUCAAAAGUACUAUUAACAGAGUAAAAAAGGCAACCCACAGAAUGGGAGAAAAUAUUUGAAAAUCAUCUCUAAUAAGGGAUUAAUAUCCAGAAUAUAGAGAAAACUCCUAAAACUCAACAACAACAAAAAACAACAUGAUUUAAAAAUGAGCAAAGGACUUGAAUAGACAUUUCUCCAAGAAGAUAUACAAAUGGCCAGUAAGUACAUGAAAUGAUGCUCAACAUCAUGAAUAAUUAGGGAAAUACAGAUCAAAAUAACAAUGAGAUACCACCCCACCCUUAUUAGGAUGGCUACUAUUUAAAAAAUAAUAAUUAUUAUAAGUGUUGGCAAGGAUGUGGAGAAAUUGGAACCCUUAUGCACUGUUGGUGGGAAUGUAAAAGGGCACCACCAGUGUAAAAUGGUGGUUCUUUAAAAACUAAAAGUAGAAUUACCAUAUGACCCAGCAUUUCCACUGCUGAAUAUAUACACAAAAGAAGUGAUAGCAGUAUCAAAGAGAUAUCUGUACAUCUGUGUUUAUAGCAGCAUUAUUCACAGUAGUUAAAAUGUGGAAGCAGACCAAGUGACUAUUGGUGGAUGACUGAAUAAGCAAAAUGUGGUAAACACAUACAAUGGCAUAUUAUUCAGCCUUAAAUAGGAAGGAAAUUUUGAUAUAUGGUAUAACAUGGAUGAAUCUUGAGGACAUUAUGUUAAGUGAAAUGAGACAAUAACAAAAAGGCAAAUACUGUAUUAUUCCACCUAUAUGAGGUACUUAGAGUAGUCAAAUGGUGGUUGCCUGGGGCUGAGCAGAGGGAAGAAUGGGAGUUAUUGCUUAAUGAAUACAGUUUUGCAAGAUGGAAAGACUUCUGGAGAUGGGUAGUGGUGAUGGCAGCACAACAAUAUGAUUGUACUUAAUGCCACUCUACUGUACACUUAAAAAUGAUUAAGAUAGUAAAUUUUGUGUUAUGUAUGUUUUACCACAAUUAAAAAUUGUGGUAAAUAAACAAUAAAGUUUUUUUAAAUGUUGUCUCUGUACCUAACAUGACUAAGCACCCUCCUAUUCUCCUUCCCAUCACAUCUCUCCUAGAUUAUCUUGGGCAUCUGAACCUAAGCAGGUGCAAUAGUUUCAUUUGAUUGCCCCCUUUAAGUCCGCUCCUUGUUGGACUCAUAGUUACCUUUACCUGCUUACUUCUUGAUGAUCACUGGGCUGAGCUAGGAAUUCUGCCUACUGCUAGUUCCUGUGCUAAAGAUAAAUGUAGUAUGAGGAAACAAACUCACCAGCACCCUGGCAGGAUCCUUCAGCCAGCCCACAGAGCAGUUGUUGCCCAUUUGUCUUGGAAACUACACACUCAUAUUUUUAGAAAGGGACAAACAGUUUCCCUGAGCUAGAUCAAAAUUCAACAGGGAAGCGGAGGUAGAGAAAACCCCGUUCCUAGCUCCUGAAGACUGUGAACCAGACUUGGAAACGCCAGGCUAACCCAAAGUAACCUGGGAACAUUCAGCCUGACCUGGGUCAACCGUGAUACAAAGGAAUAUUUAGAGUCUUGGCAGGAAGAGACCUGAUAAUUCCAUAGCCUUCCUUAUGGAUCAUGGCUCCCCAUUAGACACAGAAUAAAUUCAGAUUCUUCAAGCUGGUAUUCAAAGCCUCCCGGGUCUGGCCUGCUCACCUAUCUUCCCUUAUUUCCCAAUCCUUCUCCUCUCUAUAUCAUUACAGGGCUACACUGCAAACUCAACUAUGGGUCUGAUAUAGUUUGGACAAAUGUCCCCACCCAAAUCUCAUGUUGAAUUGUAAUCCCCUGUGUUGGAGGUGGGGCCUGAUGGGAGGUGAUUGGAUCACGGGGGUGGAUUUCUCAGGAAUGAUUUAGCCCCAGCCCCUUGGUGCAGUUCUUGUUAUAGUGAGUGAGUUCUUGUGAGAUCUAGUUGUUUAAAAGUGUGUAUCACUUCUCUCCUUCCUCU